Triticum dicoccoides is the source of this 795-nucleotide long non-coding RNA. RefSeq lists it as uncharacterized. The transcript is spliced from 4 exons. NCBI's taxonomy places the organism in Eukaryota, Viridiplantae, Streptophyta, Magnoliopsida, Poales, Poaceae. The record is from RefSeq and is a predicted model, not a curated record.
GGAUACAGCUUGGUGGCCUAUCCUGUCCAUAUGGGCGUACAUCAACAGCAUGGUGCACAAGUCCGGCAAACAGCGACGAGGAGCAUCUCGAGGGGUUCAAGGCCGAAGAGGAAGCGGCCCUCCCGGCGUGCGUCAGCUAGGCCUGACGAACACAAUGAGGAGAACCACAGAUUAAUUGUAGGAGACUCCCCUCCUGGCACCGUGCGAGAGCGAGGUCGCUGACGAUAAGGGCUUCUGAAUGAACCUGAUGGAGGCCAUGCACUAGCACACGGCGCCACCGACCAUAUCCGCAGUAGAUAAUUGGAUUUAUUGUCGGGCUAGUCGCUGUUCAUCGGUGAUGGUGCCCCUCUUAGAGCAUCCGGAAUUCUCUUGAAUCGAUGGUGGCCACCUGUAUCACCCACAUUCUGGGAGGAAACCUGACACAAGGUAGGGUGCUGCCACCCAUGGACAUAGUCACCAUUUAGACGGAUCAUGUCAUCAUGGAAGACACUUGUCAGAACUCACCCUGAUCAUUAGAUAUGCAGGGCUAUCGAAGUGCCUUAGGCUGGCUCAUGUUACGGUUCAACUGUGCCUCCUAGUUGACCGGCCGGUGCUAAUCCCCUCGGUUGGUCUUCUGCUUUGCUGAUUGCCUCACCAUCGCCCUCACAGCUCCACCACCUCCUGUACUCUAGCGUCACUAUCACCGACGUGCAUUUUGUACUAGUGUUUCUGGUUAUCUAUUUCUCCAUGUUAUCAUUCAUUGACUGAACAAUUGCCGAAAGUAGUGUGUAAUUUGGAUCUUGUUACUGUCGUCCC